CAAUAGCGUAUAUUAAAGUUGUUGCAGUUAGAACGCUCGUAGUCGGAUUUCGGGUCGGGCCGACCGGUCUGCCGAUGGGUACGCACUGGUCGGCGCGUCCUUCCUCUCGGAGACUGUUCCUACUCUUAACUGAGCGGGAGCAGGAUACGGGACUUUUACUUUGAAAAAAUCAGAGUGUUUCAAGCAGGCAGCUCGCUCUUGCAUGGAUUAGCAUGGGAUAAUGAAAUAGGACUUUGGUGCUAUUUUGUUGGUUUCGAACACCGAAGUAAUGAUGAGAAGGGACAGUCAGGGGCACUCGUAUUCCGCCGAGAGAGGUGAAAUUCUCAGACCAGCGGAAGACGAACCACUGCGAAAGCAUUUGCCAGGGAUGUUUNCACUG
This 379-nucleotide ribosomal RNA is filed under the name uncultured eukaryote. RNAcentral describes it as "partial 18S ribosomal RNA". It matches the Rfam family "Eukaryotic small subunit ribosomal RNA", at positions 592 to 975 of the family's 1831-position model. The record is from RNAcentral.